UGAGUACGAGACGCUAAGGCGUCGAAGUAGUGUAUGUCAUACUUCCAAGAAAAGCUUGCACUAUCAUAGAUAAAAAACGCCUGUACCAUAACCGACACAGGUGGGUAGGUAGAGUAUACUAAGGGGCGCGAGAUAACUCUCUCUAAGGAACUCGGCAAAAUAACUCCGUAACUUCGGGAGAAGGAGUGCCUUAUUAUUAAGGUUGCAAUAACAAGAUCCAAGCAACUGUUUAUCAAAAACACAGGUCUCCGCUAAGUCGUAAGACGAUGUAUGGGGGCUGACGCCUGCCCAGUGCCAGAAGGUUAAAGAAGUUGGUUAGCAAUUGCGAAGCUGAUAACUGAAGCCCUGGUGAACGGCGGCCGUAACAAUAACGGUCCUAAGGUAGCGAAAUUCCUUGUCGGGUAAGUUCCGACCCGCACGAAAGGCGUAAUGAUUUGGAUACUGUCUCGGAGAGGGGCUCGGUGAAAUAGACUUGUCUGUGAAGAUGCGGACUACCUGCACCAGGACAGAAAGACCCUAUGAAGCUUUACUGUAACUUGAAAUUGAAAUUGGACUUUAUUCGCGCAGUAUAGGUGGGAGGCGUUGAUUAUAAUCUUGCGGGAUUAUUGGAGCCAUCAGUGAGAUACCACUCUUGUAAUGUUAGAUUUCUAACUUUGAAUCAUUAUCUGGUCAAAGAACAGUUUCAGGCGGGCAGUUUGACUGGGGCGGUCGCCUCCUAAACGGUAACGGAGGCGUACAAAGGUUUCCUCUGAACGGUUAGAAAUCGUAUCUAGAGUGUAAAGGCAUAAGGAAGCUUGACUGUGAGACCUACAAGUCGAGCAGGGACGAAAGUCGGUCUUAGUGAUCUGACGGUACUGAGUGGAAAGGCCGUCACUCAACGGAUAAAAGUUACUCUAGGAUAACAGGCUGAUCUCCCCCAAGAGUUCACAUCGACGGGGAGGUUUGGCACCUCGAUGUCGGCUCAUCGCAUCCUGGGGCGGUAGUACGUCCCAAGGGUUGGGCUGUUCGCCCAUGAAAGCGGUACGCGAGCUGGGUUCAGAACGUCGUGAGACAGUUCGGUCCAUAUCCGGUGUAGGCGUUAGAAUAUUGAGAGGAGCCUUCUUUAGUACGAGAGGACCGAGAAGGACAUACCUCUGGUGUACCAGUUAUCGUGCCAACGGUAAACGCUGGGUAGCUAUGUAUGGAGUGGAUAACCGCUGAAAGCAUCUAAGUGGGAAGCCCACCUCAAGAUAAGUAUUC
Molecule: ribosomal RNA, 1239 nt
Filed under: metagenome
Description: bacterial LSU rRNA
Rfam family: Bacterial large subunit ribosomal RNA
Source: RNAcentral